UAAGUAGGAUGCAAGCGAUGUCCGGAUUUAUUGGGUUUAAAGGGUGCGUAGGCGGCCUAUUAAGUUAGUGGUGAAAACGUUCGGCUUAACCGGAUACCCGCCAUUGAUACUGAUAGACUUGAGUGCGACAGAGGGGGUUGGAAUGUGUGGUGUAGCGGUGAAAUGCUUAGAUAUCACGCAGAACACCAAUUGCGAAGGCAGAUGCCUAUGUCGUAACUGACGCUGAGGCACGAAAGCGUGGGGAGCAAACAGG
RNAcentral lists this ribosomal RNA (253 nucleotides) under uncultured bacterium. RNAcentral's name for it is "partial 16S ribosomal RNA". It matches the Rfam family "Bacterial small subunit ribosomal RNA", at positions 524 to 776 of the family's 1533-position model. The record is from RNAcentral.